GUGCCAGCAGCCGCGGUAAUACGUAGGGGGCGAGCGUUGUCCGGAUUCAUUGGGCGUAAAGCGCGCGUAGGCGGCUUCGCAAGUCGGCCGUGAAAUCUCCGGGCUCAACUCGGAGGGGUCGGGCGAGACUGCGAGGCUCGAGGUGGGCAGAGGGCAGUGGAAUUCCGGGUGUAGUGGUGGAAUGCGUAGAGAUCCGGAGGAACACCAGUGGCGAAGGCGGCUGCCUGGGCCUGGCCUGACGCUGAGGCGCGAAAGCGUGGGGAGCAAUCCGGAUUAGAUACCCGUGUAGUCC
Molecule: ribosomal RNA, 292 nt
Filed under: uncultured bacterium
Lineage: Bacteria
Description: partial 16S ribosomal RNA
Rfam family: Bacterial small subunit ribosomal RNA
Source: RNAcentral